GGACUACAGGGGUAUCUAAUCCCGUUUGCUCCCCACGCUUUCGCGCCUCAGCGUCAGUUCCGGCCCAGGUGGCCGCCUUCGCCACCGGUGUUCCUCCCAAUAUCUACGCAUUUCACCGCUACACUGGGAAUUCCACCACCCUCUUCCGGACUCAAGCCCAGCAGUAUCUCCCGCACGUCCUCAGUUAAGCCGAGGGAUUUCACGAGAGACUUGAAGGACCGCCUACGCGCCCUUUACGCCCAAUAAUUCCGAAUAACGCUUGCCCCCUCUGUAUUACCGCGGCGGCUGGCAC
This 292-nucleotide ribosomal RNA is filed under the name uncultured Acidobacteriota bacterium. RNAcentral describes it as "uncultured Acidobacteria bacterium partial 16S ribosomal RNA". Lineage: Bacteria; Pseudomonadati; Acidobacteriota. The record is from RNAcentral.